GAUGAACGCUGGCGGCGUGCCUAAUACAUGCAAGUAGAACGCUGAAGGAGGAGCUUGCUCUUCUGGAUGAGUUGCGAACGGGUGAGUAACGCGUAGGUAACCUGCCUGGUAGCGGGGGAUAACUAUUGGAAACGAUAGCUAAUACCGCAUGACAACAGUUAUUGCAUGAUAACUGUUUAAAAGGGGCAACUGCUCCACUACCAGAUGGACCUGCGUUGUAUUAGCUAGUUGGUGAGGUAACGGCUCACCAAGGCGACGAUACAUAGCCGACCUGAGAGGGGGAUCGGCCACACUGGGACUGGGAAACGGCCCAGACUCCUACGGGAGGCAGCAGUAGGGAAUCUUCGGCAAUGGACGGAAGUCUGACCGAGCAACGCCGCGUGAGUGAAGAAGGGUUUCGGAUCGUAAAGCUCUGUUGUAAGAGAAGAACGAGUGUGAGAGUGGAAAGUUCACACUGUGACGGUAUCUUACCAGAAAGGGACGGCUAACUACGUG
Molecule: ribosomal RNA, 495 nt
Filed under: uncultured bacterium
Lineage: Bacteria
Description: partial 16S ribosomal RNA
Rfam family: Bacterial small subunit ribosomal RNA
Source: RNAcentral